RNAcentral lists this ribosomal RNA (700 nucleotides) under uncultured bacterium. RNAcentral's name for it is "bacterial SSU rRNA". It matches the Rfam family "Bacterial small subunit ribosomal RNA", at positions 61 to 740 of the family's 1533-position model. The record is from RNAcentral.
GUCGAACGCGAAAGUGGAGCAAUCCAUGAGUAGAGUGGCAAACGGGUGAGUAACACGUGGGUGACCUGCCUUCGAGUGGGGGAUAACGUCCCGAAAGGGGCGCUAAUACCGCAUGAUAUGCCGUUUUUUAAGAGACGGACAUCAAAGCUGGGGAUCGUAAGACCUAGCGCUUGAAGAGGGGCCCGCGCCUGAUUAGCUAGUUGGUGGGGUAAUGGCUCACCAAGGCAACGAUCAGUAUCCGGCCUGAGAGGGCGGACGGACACACUGGGACUGAGACACGGCCCAGACUCCUACGGGAGGCAGCAGUGGGGAAUUGUUCGCAAUGGGCGCAAGCCUGACGACGCAACGCCGCGUGGAGGAUGAAGACCUUCGGGUCGUAAACUCCUUUCGAUCGAGACGAAUGGCCUCUGGGCUAACAUCCCGGAGGAAUGACGGUACCGAGAGAAGAAGCCCCGGCUAACUCCGUGCCAGCAGCCGCGGUAAUACGGGGGGGGCAAGCGUUGUUCGGAAUUACUGGGCGUAAAGGGCUCGUAGGCGGCCAACUAAGUCAUACGUGAAAUCCCUCGGCUUAACCGGGGAACUGCGUCUGAUACUGGAUGGCUUGAGUUUGGGAGAGGGAUGCGGAAUUCCAGGUGUAGCGGUGAAAUGCGUAGAUAUCUGGAGGAACACCGGUGGCGAAGGCGGCAUCCUGGACCGAUAC